RNAcentral lists this ribosomal RNA (301 nucleotides) under uncultured bacterium. RNAcentral describes it as "partial 16S ribosomal RNA". It matches the Rfam family "Bacterial small subunit ribosomal RNA", at positions 509 to 809 of the family's 1533-position model. The record is from RNAcentral.
CAGCAGCCACGGUAAUACGUAGGUGGCGAGCGUUGUCCGGAAUUAUUGGGCGUAAAGGGAGCGCAGGCGGACAUAUAAGUCCAUCUUAAAAGUGCGGGGCUCAACCCCGUGAGGGGAUGGAAACUGUAUGCCUUGAGUGCAGGAGAGGAAAGCGGAAUUCCCAGUGUAGCGGUGAAAUGCGUAGAUAUUGGGGGGAACACCAGUGGCGAAGGCGGCUUUCUGGACUGUAACUGACGCUGAGGCUCGAAAGCCAGGGGAGCGAACGGGAUUAGAGACCCCCGUAGUCCCUGUCUCUUAUACA